CAUUUUUAGAUUUAAUUAAAAAUAACCUCUGCUCAAUGAAAAUUUAAAUAGCCGCAGAAUUUUUACUGUGCUAAGGUAGCAUAAUCAAUUGUCUUUUAAUUAAAGAAUAGAAUGAAAGAUAAAACGAAUUUUAAUUUUUUUAUAAAAUUUACAAUAAAAUUGUAUUAUUAGUUAAAAUACUAAUAAAAUAAGAAAGACGAAAAGACCCUAUCGAACUUUACUACUGUUUAGCUGGGGAAGCUCAAUAAAAAAACCUUUUUGUUUUACCAAAAAUCCCUAAGAAGUUUUAUCUAGUUACCGUAGGGAUAACAGCAUAAUAAAUUUUUAUAGUUCUUAUUUAAAAAAAUGUUUAUGACCUCGAUGUUGAAUAAUUUUCUUAUACAAAGCAAAAUUUUAUAAAGAAAGUCUGUUCGACUUUUAAAUUUUUACA
This 430-nucleotide ribosomal RNA is filed under the name Orsolobidae sp. Western Australia GH56. RNAcentral describes it as "partial 16S ribosomal RNA". Lineage: Eukaryota; Metazoa; Arthropoda; Arachnida; Araneae; Orsolobidae. The record is from RNAcentral.